GAGAUGGUACUAUAGUACCUACCCAUUGUCAUCCCUACUUAGUUGGAAUAAAAACAAUAAUGUUAUACUUUAUGAUAUAUCUUACACAAUCCUGAUUUGUGCUACUAUCACAUUAAUUUUUUUAAGAUUAAUAUGUUGAUAAUUCCUUAUAUCUAUGAUUUGUGUUAUCGUCUUCAUAUUUACGAAGAAUGUGAAACGAGUUCCUCUUGGUCUCAAUCAGGCUUAGAAGAGAAGUCUUUAUGUCCACUUUACUCAUCAAUUCUGACUUUUCU
This 272-nucleotide long non-coding RNA is filed under the name Lotus japonicus. Its description in RNAcentral is "long non-coding RNA (LJAP_LNC001241)". Lineage: Eukaryota; Viridiplantae; Streptophyta; Magnoliopsida; Fabales; Fabaceae. The record is from RNAcentral.